This 241-nucleotide ribosomal RNA is filed under the name uncultured bacterium. Its description in RNAcentral is "partial 16S ribosomal RNA". It matches the Rfam family "Bacterial small subunit ribosomal RNA", at positions 118 to 347 of the family's 1533-position model. The record is from RNAcentral.
UGGGUAACCUGCCUCAAAGAGGGGAAUAGCCUCCCGAAAGGGAGAUUAAUACCGCAUAAUAUGUUUAAGUCGCAUGACUUUAACAUCAAAGGAUUUUCUUCGGAACUUCCACUUUGAGAUGGACCCGCGGCGCAUUAGCUAGUUGGUGAGGUAACGGCUCACCAAGGCAACGAUGCGUAGCCGACCUGAGAGGGUGAUCCGGCCACAUUGGAACUGAGACACGGUCCAGACUCCGUAGGAG